Molecule: ribosomal RNA, 484 nt
Filed under: uncultured bacterium
Lineage: Bacteria
Description: partial 16S ribosomal RNA
Rfam family: Bacterial small subunit ribosomal RNA
Source: RNAcentral
AUUGAACGCUGGCGGCAGGCCUAACACAUGCAAGUCGAGCGGAUGAAGGGAGCUUGCUCCUGGAUUCAGCGGCGGACGGGUGAGUAAUGCCUAGGAAUCUGCCUGGUAGUGGGGGAUAACGUCCGGAAACGGGCGCUAAUACCGCAUACGUCCUGAGGGAGAAAGUGGGGGAUCUUCGGACCUCACGCUAUCAGAUGAGCCUAGGUCGGAUUAGCUAGUUGGUGGGGUAAAGGCCUACCAAGGCGACGAUCCGUAACUGGUCUGAGAGGAUGAUCAGUCACACUGGAACUGGGACACGGUCCAGACGCCUACGGGAGGCAGCAGUAGGGAAUAUUGGACAAUGGGCGAAAGCCUGAUCCAGCCAUGCCGCGUGUGUGAAGAAGGUCUUCGGAUUGUAAAGCACUUUAAGUUGGGAGGAAGGGCAGUAAGUUAAUACCUUGCUGUUUUGACGUUACCAACAGAAUAAGCACCGGCUAACUUCGUG